GUCUUCUAUACCACCCUUUGUUUAUUACACCUUUGUUGCUUUGGCAGGCCUGCCCUCGGGCUGCUGGCUCCGGCCGGCGAGCGCCUGCCAGAGGACCUAAACUCUGUUUGUCUGUAA
Molecule: ribosomal RNA, 117 nt
Filed under: Gymnostellatospora sp. SL0219
Lineage: Eukaryota; Fungi; Ascomycota; Leotiomycetes; Thelebolales; Pseudeurotiaceae
Description: partial 18S ribosomal RNA
Source: RNAcentral